Oryctolagus cuniculus (rabbit) is the source of this 5033-nucleotide non-coding RNA. The record is from RefSeq and is a predicted model, not a curated record. NCBI's taxonomy places the organism in Eukaryota, Metazoa, Chordata, Mammalia, Lagomorpha, Leporidae.
ACACUUGGCUCUGUUUCCAGAGCCAAAUCAUCAAGUGCUGCUUCCUUUUUUGCUUAGCAGUUCAUCCUUUGAUUUAUCUCUUUCCCUCUUAAUAUUUUUAUUCUGAGUACCCAGAGCAACUAGACAAUACCUUCCACACUUAGCUUGGAAUCACUUUAGCUAAACAUCCAGAUUCAUCACUUAUAAGUUCUACUUUCCACAAAACGUAUAAUAUAAUUCAGUCAAGUUCUCUGCCAUUUUAUUACAAGGAUUUCUUUUUAUCUAGUGUAACUUGUUCCUCAUUUUCUUUUGAGGCUUCAUAGGGUGCAUGUUGCUAGCAACAUUCUGUUUAUGAUGAUAUACGAGCAAAAUCUUUAAAGAGGAGAGAAAGUUUUGCUCCAACUUUUUCACACUUUUUUCUGAGCCCUCACAAGAGUCAACUUUAAGACCCAUACGUCUACCACCGAUGUCAUCAAAUGAAUCUAAGCUUGUCUGGAAAAUUCUUCCAACCUCAACCCAUUAGCCACUUCCAAAGAUAUCUUCUAAACUGUAAGUAUGUCUUACACCCCAUGCCCUAUUACCAAAAUCUACCUUCAUUUGCUAGGGAUUCUGUAACAAAGUACCAAAAACAACAGAAAUUCAUUCUGUCACAAUUAUGAGGCUAGAAGUCCAAAAUGAAAGUUUAGACAGACCCAACCUCACUUUGAAACUCUGAAUAAAAUCCUUCCGCACUCCUUCCUAACUUCUAGUGGAAACAGCAGUCUUUGGCAUUCUCCCAGUGUCUGCCUCUGUUAUCACGUGGCAUUUUCCUCCCAUGUUUUCACAUGGUAUUGUCUUGUUUGUGUGUCUGUGUCCAAAUUUCCUUCUGUUAUUAAGAACACCAGUCAUGCUGGAUUAAGCCUGCCCUAAUGACCUCAUCGUAGCUGAUUACCUGAUUGAAGACCCUUUUUCCAGAUAAGGUCACACUCUGGUCAUUGGAGGUUAAGAUUUCAACAUACCUUCUUGGGGACACAAUUCUCCCAGGAACAUGGAAUGAACGUUGGCAGGAUAUAUAUUCCUGUGUACACACCAACUGGGUCAAGAUACAGAGCAUUUUCAACACUCAACAGGCUCCCUCAUUCACCGUCUCUGCUGGUGCACGCCGUCUCUGCCUGGGUCACAGAGAUUAGAUGUUAUCAUGCAACCAGGAGGGAAAAGAAGACACCAGUCAGCUGCAAGCCCAGCUGUAGAUGACUGCAGCAGGCUGUCCUUGGCAAUCGCUGUGCAUGGUUAUGUCGAUACUCAAUCAAUACUCCCCAAAGGCAGCCUUUGUUCUAGGCUUAAUUCUUUAUGCACAGUUGUUUACUUUAUUUGCUACCAUGGAGGAUAGCUAACAAGAGCUAAAAAGAAUUAGGUCAUUUUUUUCUAUAAUUGUCUAAUCCAGGAACUUAAAGUCCUCUCCUCACAGUUGAAGGAGGGUUUAUAACAAGGCAUUUUUGGAGAAAAUGCCUGCAGACACACCCUGAAGCAAAAGAAGAUAAAGCCAGAAACAAUUAUAACACUCAUAUAGUCGAAGAUAACCAUCAUUUUAAGGCUAGAGCCACUAAAACAUUAUACUUUUUGAGUUCCAACUCAAAAAUUGAUUACAGGCACUGUGAUGGUUUUUCAGGUUCAUCUGAUUUCAUUUUAUUCCACGAACCCACUUGAAAAUAUAUGUUAUUUCUAUCUAGAAAGAAUACUUAGGACAUACAGUAUUGGCCCAAUAAUUAAGCAGUCCCCAAGUAACAAAUGACUCUUGGAGCUCUUUUGCACUCUCAGAUUAGUGUUUGAUUUGGCAAAUAUUUCAAGAGUGGUUAUUACAGACAUAGGUCCUCAAUAUCUGUAUUACAAUGUUACUAUAAAGAAUCAUGCAAAAUGCCACAUUGUCUUCAUAUUCCUUGAAGAAACCAGAAUAGUGAUAAAAUUUUUAAAUAAUGCAGUCAAUGUAAUGAUGGAGGGUAGUUCUAUGAAGGCACCAAAGAUAAAUGUUGGCCCACCUAGGCAUGGGAGGAUGAUCCAAGAAAGCCUAAGUUUUAAAGAAAGAAUAAAAAGACUUAGGCAGAUAAAGAACAGGGACAGGCAGACAUGCAACACAGGGAAAAUCAGCAAAGGGAGUUACUGGGGCCCAAAGUGUGAGUCAGGUUAUAGUUCGAAAUAUGAGUCCACGGUGGAGGUCAGGUCAUAGAAGAAGGGAAUUUUCCUGAGGUAGUAAAUUCAUUGCUCAUGGACUUUUCAGCCUGCAGAUGUUGCUUUUAUGGCCACCACUAUGUCUGAAUAAAAUCUAAGUGCCUUUAAGCGGCGCAUGAGCCCACCAGCUCACCCCAGGACCCACUGCUCCCUAAUUGUUUAGUACUUUCCAGCUAAAGAUAGAGUCACCAGCAGUUAGUGAGUCUUUAGAUGUAAGGAGGUGACAGGUGGUUGUCCUUCCUGUUCAUCACAGUUAUGCAUAUUUUACAGUCACUGCAUUGUUCUAAUUUAAAGACACAAUCAGCCUGCUGCACACGUCUGGACCAUAAAGAGAUGGGAAAAUGGCAUGAAACCAGCUAAUGAGCGCCUUGGAGGCAGCAGAUGAUGGCUCAAGUACUUUGGUCCUUGCUAACCCAUGGAGAGCUGGAUGGAGUUCAACAUUCUUUGCCUUGAUCUAUAUACCAGCCCUGGCUGUUGCAGGAAUUUGGGGGAAUGAACCAGCAAAUGGGAGAUCUCUCUCCCCAUCUUUCCCUUUCAAAUUGUUACCUGUUUUCCAAAACUGCGGGUGAAGAGGCCUUCCUCUUUAGCAGGUAAGAAGCAGAAGGAACCUCACAUCACAAACGCAGCAUGUGAUGUAAUAAAUGUGGAGCCAUCUGACAUAUGGUACCUGUCCUUUAUAUUUAGGGGGGUGGAGAUGUUAAAGCAUGACUAAUCCUGUUCCCCCAAGCUGUGCACCUGUCCUACCUUCUGAUUAUGGUUCCAGGAAAGUAACCCUUACUUCUUAUCAAGUGAGCAAGCUUAGAGAGCAAACAAAGCCUGGAAUCUGGGAAGAUUAAUCUCUGCUUUUAAUAACCUAUUCAAAAACACCACACAUACAUUAUUUUAUUUUGUCUUUUAGUACAACGUGUAAUGUUUGGUUGGAGGCCAGUCAUGAUGUCCUGGGUGAAAGGAACUGUGGUAAAUUGGCUUUCUGGUAUGCAGUGCUACAGUUUAUCUGGCUGGGUGUUAGGUUGUAUUUUCUGUUUGCUAUAGCUAUGGUGUCUGAAGUUAAACUUUCUUCUGCUGCUUUUGUUUCUACAUCCCUGUUGUUUUGGGGCCUCCCUAGAGACUACUCAAAUAUACUUUUUUAAAGGUUUUUUUUUUAAGAUUUCUGUUUUAUUUAUUUGAAGGUCAGAGCUGGAGGGGAAGAGAGAGAGAGAGAGAGAGAUAGAGAGAGUGAGAAUGAGCUUCCAUCUGCUGGUUCACUGCCCAGACAGCCACAAUGGCUGGGGCUAGGCCAGGCAGAAGUCAGGAGCCAGAAACUUCAUCCAAGUCUCUCACGCAGGUAGCAGGGGCUCAAGCACUUGGGCCAUCCUCCAUCGCCUGUCCCAGGCUAUUAGCAGGGAGCUCGGGUAAGAAAUGGAGCAGCUGGGACUCAAACCAGUGCCCAUAUGGGAUGCUGGCGUCACAGGCAGCAACUUUACCCACAACACCACAAUGCUGCCUCCCUGAUUAAAUAUUCUGUAAAGACGUAUUAAAUAGUUCAUUUGUAUUCCUCAGUCAUUGUACGGGAGCCCUGUGGAUGUGGUGGCAAGCUGUGGAGAAGGAGAAGCCUUCUAUUUUCCUAUGAUAGGUUCCAGCCUUUUGUGAGCUACUGCAGGACUGUGACACUCACAAGUGCCUCUCAACCCCUCCCUCCUGAGAUGAGCCAGGAAGGCCACAGCAGGCUGGAGUUAGAUGUUUUCCUUCCCCUAGAGCAAUAAGACUCUAGUUUCGUUAUGUAUUUGUAAGUGUCAUUUAUUUAUUUGAAAGGCAGAGCAACAGAAGCAGGAGAUACAGAUUUGCCAAUCUUCUGAUUCACUCCCCAAAUGCCUGCAAUAGCCAGGUAUGGGCCUGGCUGAAGCCAGGGGUCUCCCACAUGGCUGGCCAAGACUCAAGUACUUGAACAAUCAUCUGCAGGCUGCCAGGCGCCUUAGCAAGAAGCUGGAUGGGAAUGUGGAGGUGGGACUCCAUCCCAGGCACUCCGAGAUGGGGUACAGGCUUCUCAAGUGGUGGCUUGACCUCCUGCACCUCAACCCUGGUCCCAACAAGGCUCUAGUUUCUAUUGAGGGCAGGCACUGUUAACAAGAGCAGAAGGCUCUGAGCAUAUUUACAAAUGGCCACUGCUUGCCACCCAGUGGAAACUUUUUUCUGAUGCUGCAGGUCAGAAUCUAUCAGGGUACAUGGAGGUAAAACUGCAAUACAGUUCUGACCUCUCCGAUUUGUCUGCUCUGAGCCUGCAGCAGCUUGUUGGUGACAGGUCAGGUUUUCCUAAGCCCAUGCUGCUCCCCUGGCUGGUUUCUCCUCCAGGGCUCUGCCCAGCGUGCUGAGAUUCUCUCUGCCCUCCUGGCUCUUCAGUCUGAAGGGCAACUCUUUGCUGCUUGCCCUCAGCUGUCUGACUGAUAGAGGAGCUCUUGGUUUUCAGUGUGUUUGGGCUUUUUUCUUGUUGGUGGACAGGAGAGGACAACUCCAAACUCCUUGUAAGCCUGACCAGAAACUGGAGGUCUCCUCAUUGUUUGAUUUGAUUCUUCCAAACUGAAGUCACACACAUAGUAGGUAGAAAAGCCAGGAUGAGAGAUCUCAGGAGAUGUGACUCCAGUGUGGUGAUUUUUUUCCUCACUUACUGAGGUUCACCAAGUGAGGGGUGCAAGUGUAGAAGACCUCGGAGGGAUGGGUGUUAUGGCACGGGGGCUAAGCUGCUGCGUGGGAUGCACUUUGUAUAUCAAAGUGCCUGGUUCAAGUCCUGGCUACUCUGCUUCCAAUCCAACUUCCUGCUAAAGUGCACCCUGGGAAUAGCAGAUGAUGGCUACAGUGCUUGGGUCCCUGCCACC